This 320-nucleotide ribosomal RNA is filed under the name uncultured eukaryote. Its description in RNAcentral is "partial 18S ribosomal RNA". It matches the Rfam family "Eukaryotic small subunit ribosomal RNA", at positions 1470 to 1796 of the family's 1831-position model. The record is from RNAcentral.
CCCCUAGAUGUUCUGGGCCGCACGCGCGCUACACUGAACAGUUCAACAAGUCUUAACCUUGGCCGAUAGGUCUGGGUAAUCUUUGAACGCUGUUCGUGAUUGGGAUAGACCUUUGCAAUUAUGGGUCUUCAACGAGGAAUUCCUAGUAAACGCAAGUCAUCAGCUUGCAUUGAUUACGUCCCUGCCCUUUGUACACAGCGCCCGUCGCACCUACCGAUUGAAUGGUCCGGUGAAAUCUCGGGACGGCGGCUUGGUCGCUUGCGUCCGACUGCUGAAACUUGAUUAAACCAUAUCAUUUAGAGGAAGGUGAAGUCGUAACA